This 70-nucleotide transfer RNA is filed under the name Athalia scapulata. RNAcentral's name for it is "tRNA-Cys". The record is from RNAcentral. Lineage: Eukaryota; Metazoa; Arthropoda; Insecta; Hymenoptera; Athaliidae.
AAUUUUAUAGUUUAAUAUUCAAAACAUUAGAUUGCAAAUCUAAUAAAAUAAUUAAUUAUUAUUAAAAUUU